UACGUAGGGUGCAAGCGUUGUCCGGAAUUAUUGGGCGUAAAGAGCUCGUAGGCGGUUUGUCGCGUCGAAUGUGAAAUCCCGGGGCUCAACCCCGGGUCUGCAUUCGAUACGGGCAGACUAGAGUUCGGUAGGGGAGUCUGGAAUUCCUGGUGUAGCGGUGAAAUGCGUAGAUAUCUGGAGGAACACCGGUGGCGAAGGCGGAUCUCUGGGCCGAUACUGACGCUGAGGAGCGAAAGCGUGGGGAGCGAACAGG
RNAcentral lists this ribosomal RNA (253 nucleotides) under uncultured bacterium. RNAcentral's name for it is "partial 16S ribosomal RNA". It matches the Rfam family "Bacterial small subunit ribosomal RNA", at positions 524 to 776 of the family's 1533-position model. The record is from RNAcentral.